Molecule: ribosomal RNA, 253 nt
Filed under: Butyricicoccus pullicaecorum
Lineage: Bacteria; Bacillati; Bacillota; Clostridia; Eubacteriales; Butyricicoccaceae
Description: partial 16S ribosomal RNA
Rfam family: Bacterial small subunit ribosomal RNA
Source: RNAcentral
UACGUAGGGAGCAAGCGUUAUCCGGAUUUACUGGGUGUAAAGGGCGUGUAGGCGGGCUUGCAAGUUGGAAGUGAAAUCCAGGGGCUUAACCCCUGAACUGCUUUCAAAACUGCGAGUCUUGAGUGAUGGAGAGGCAGGCGGAAUUCCCAGUGUAGCGGUGAAAUGCGUAGAUAUUGGGAGGAACACCAGUGGCGAAGGCGGCCUGCUGGACAUUAACUGACGCUGAGGCGCGAAAGCGUGGGGAGCAAACAGG